RNAcentral lists this ribosomal RNA (478 nucleotides) under uncultured bacterium. RNAcentral describes it as "partial 16S ribosomal RNA". It matches the Rfam family "Bacterial small subunit ribosomal RNA", at positions 28 to 523 of the family's 1533-position model. The record is from RNAcentral.
GACGAACGCUGGCGGCGUGCUUAACACAUGCAAGUCGAACGGUAAGGCCCUUCGGGGUACACGAGUGGCGAACGGGUGAGUAACACGUGGGUGAUCUGCCCUGCACUUCGGGAUAAGCCUGGGAAACUGGGUCUAAUACCGGAUAGGACCACUGCCUGCAUGGGUGGUGGUGGAAAGCUUUUGCGGUGUGGGAUGGGCCCGCGGCCUAUCAGCUUGGUGGGGGGGUGAUGGCCUACCAAGGCGACGACGGGUAGCCGGCCUGAGAGGGUGACCGGCCACCCUGGGACUAGGAUACGGCCCAGACUCCUACGGGAGGCAGCAGUGGGGAAUAUUGCACAAUGGGCGCAAGCCUGAUGCAGCGACGCCGCGUGAGGGAUGACGGCCUUCGGGUUGUAAACCUCUUUCAGCACCGACGAAGCGCAAGUGACGGUAGGUGCAGAAGAAGGACCGGCCAACUACGUGCCAGCCGCCGCCGUAA